CUCGCUCAAUACAGACGAGUGAAGGCAAGAGCGGCGUGUCGACCUCUUCAUUUAUCUGUCACUAUUCCCCUUGUUUAAGGACUGUCUUUAUUGGUUCCUGUUAUGUGGUUCUUUAAUAUUCAUUCAAAGUGAGCGGACUAUCAGAUGACUCCCAUCCAGCUGGACACUAUAUAAUGAAUUCCCUGUAACCAUACUCCACCUUCAGAGAAUUUCACUCCCCCAAGUCAUUUUCAUCGACUGCUGCUGCAGACGAAAAACAAACCGCUCAUCAGCCAGUCGCAAACUGAGGGAAUCAUGAGGGUUCAGUGUGCCUGUUUGCUGCUGCUGCUGCUUUUUGCUGCUGUGCUCUCUCAGAGUUAUAAGGACUUCAAAAAUGAGCACUUCCUUCCAGUGAAGGGCUCUCAAAAGUGUUAUGACAUGAUGAAAAAUAUUAAUAAAAAAAGUGAAUGCAAGGAAAUACAUACCUUCAUCAAAGAUCAAGAAGCUUCAGUUAAGGUUUUGUGCAAGGGUAAAAAAGAGGAAGUAAUCACCCCUGAGCUGAAUGUUAUUGACUGCGUGAGGUCAAAUGAGACACCCUGCGCGUACAAUGACACACCACAGACCAUAAAGAAGAAGAUAAAAUGUAAAAAAGGCCGUCCUGUGUACCUUGAGAAAGCUGAGUAGCAUCAGAGUUGAAUCAGCUGUUGUCCUCUUCAGUAAACAGCAUUUCUUCAAAUGUGAUGAUGUUCACGUGGCUGUCAUCUAAAAAUCAAAGAUUAUUCUGAAAAUAUUAAAAACCAUGUAGAC
This is a long non-coding RNA of Archocentrus centrarchus (flier cichlid), 786 nucleotides long. RefSeq lists it as uncharacterized. The record is from RefSeq and is a predicted model, not a curated record. Lineage: Eukaryota; Metazoa; Chordata; Actinopteri; Cichliformes; Cichlidae. The transcript is spliced from 3 exons.